GAUCUUUGCCCCAACCAUACAAGACCAACAUUGGUUUUGUUAUGUACUUGAUAAGAUCAAAAAGAAGUUGUUCGUGCUAAACUCUUUGUAUAGUGAAAGAAAUGAAGAUGAAAAACAGUUGGAUCUUUUUAUGAAGAGGAACUUCGAGAACUUGCUGCAUUUCAUGGAUGAAUGUCAAACAUUAGAGCUCGUUUACGAGGACUUGCCGCAACAAAAAAAUAUCCAUGACUGUGGAAUAUAUGUUUUAAAGUAUUUGGAGAUGUGGGAUGAUGACAGGAAAUGAGGUGACAGAACCAUGCCUGAUUUCACAUUGGACGAAAUUCUACAUUUUCGUCGACAAUUUGUUUGUGAAUGGGUGUUGCAUCCUCAAAAUCUCGAGUUGAAACAUGUACGAGUAGAAGCAAGUCUCCCGGAUGACUUCUCAAUAGACUCGCUUCAGUCUUGAUUGGGAGCUGAAGGAAGCAAUUUUCGUGGCUGUAGCAGAAGCUUAGUAGCAAGGUAAAGCUUCAAUUUCAGGUUGUUCAAUGUUGAAUCAGUUCAACCAGGGCUUGAGCCGAUGCAAACGCUUCCAUGGGCUUGAAAAUGUGCGCGCCUGAGCUUAUGAGCCGGUGCAUACUGUGCUGAACCGGUACAUGAGUUCCAGGACGUGUUUUUAUGAAAAAUGAGAGUU
This is a long non-coding RNA of Trifolium pratense (red clover), 670 nucleotides long. RefSeq lists it as uncharacterized. The transcript has 6 exons. NCBI's taxonomy places the organism in Eukaryota, Viridiplantae, Streptophyta, Magnoliopsida, Fabales, Fabaceae. The record is from RefSeq and is a predicted model, not a curated record.